This 29-nucleotide small RNA is filed under the name Bombyx mori (domestic silkworm). RNAcentral's name for it is "piRNA piR-bmo-1672055". Lineage: Eukaryota; Metazoa; Arthropoda; Insecta; Lepidoptera; Bombycidae. The record is from RNAcentral.
UACAUACAACCUACAGGACCUCGGCGCGA